RNAcentral lists this long non-coding RNA (460 nucleotides) under Brassica rapa (field mustard). RNAcentral describes it as "long non-coding RNA (BRAP_LNC000670)". Lineage: Eukaryota; Viridiplantae; Streptophyta; Magnoliopsida; Brassicales; Brassicaceae. The record is from RNAcentral.
GGCAAUGUUUUAUAGAAAAACUUGGACAAAUAGUCAAAUAGUUAUAUUUAUGUUUUUUUUUUUAUAAAAUGGUAAUGUUACAUUAUGGAGAUAAACUGUUUUUUUUAGUGAAAAAUAGUAAUUUUACAUAUGUUUAAUGUAGUUUUUCCAUUUUUUUCAUGUUGUAUGUUUACAUAUUAUUUUUAUUUUUAAAUGUAAAAUGGUAAUCAUACAUAUGUUUAAUGUAGUAUUUCCAUUUUUUAUGAUGUAUGUUUGCAUAUUAUUUAUUAUUUUCGAAAUUAUAUAUAAUGUUUUUUUUUUACAAAAUAGUAAUGUUACAUUAUGCAGAUAAGCCGUCUUUUUUUAGUGAAAGAUGGUAAUCUUACAUAUGUUUAAUGUUUACAUAUUAUUUUUUAAAAAUAAAAAUGUAAAAUGGUAAUCUUACAUAUGUUUAAUGUAGUAUUUCCAUUUUUUAUGUUGU